GACCUUUAGUUUGAAACCCCGAAACCAGGUGAGCUACCCCGAGACAGCCUAUUGAGGGCCAACCCGUCUCUGUGGCAAAAGAGUGGGAAGAGCUCCGGGUAGAAGUGACAGACCUACCGAACCUGGUGAUAGCUGGUUGCCUAAGAAAUGGAUAGAAGUUCAGCCUCGUGCUCCCCAAAUCAAACAAACGUUAACAAGACGACAAGAGAAACACACGAGAGUUAGUUAAAGGGGGUACAGCCCCUUUGACAAAGGAUACAACCUUUCUAGGAGGAUAAAGAUCAUAAUACAUAAAACAUACUGUUCUAGUGGGCCUAAAAGCAGCCACCUAAACAGAAAGCGUUAAAGCUCAGACAGAUAAAAGUUUAUUAUCCUGAUAAUAUAUCUUAUUCCCCUAAAUACUAUUAGGCCAACCCAUGCCUACAUGGAAGAGAUUAUGCUAAAAUGAGUAACAAGAAGGCCCGCCCUUCUCCAAGCACAAGUGUAAGCCAAAUCGGACCAACCAUUGGCAAUUAACGAACUCAACCCAAGAGAGCAAUGUGGAUUACAAAAAAACCUAGAAAAACCCACAAUCUAACUAUCGUUACCCCCACACUGGAGUGCAACAAAGGAAAGACUAAAAGAAAAGGAAGGAACUCGGCAAACACAAGCCUCGCCUGUUUACCAAAAACAUCGCCUCCUGCAACACAACCAAGUAUAGGAGGUCCAGCCUGCCCAGUGACUACAAGUUCAACGGCCGCGGUAUUUUGACCGUGCAAAGGUAGCGCAAUCACUUGUCUUUUAAAUAGAGACCUGUAUGAAUGGCCAAACGAGGGCUUAACUGUCUCCCUUUUCCAGUCAGUGAAAUUGAUCUACCCGUGCAGAAGCGGGUAUAAUAAUACAAGACGAGAAGACCCUUUGGAGCUUAAGGUACAAAACUCAACCACGUUAAGCAACUCAAUAAAAAGUGAAAACUUUGUGGAACAUGAGAUUUUACCUUCGGUUGGGGCGACCACGGAGGAAAGAAGAGCCUCCAGGUGGACCGGGAAAAUUUCCUAAAACCAAGAGAGACAUCUCUAAGCCACAGAACAUCUGACCAAAUAUGAUCCGGCUAAUACAAGCCGAUCGACGAACCAAGUUACCCUAGGGAUAACAGCGCAAUCCUCUCCCAGAGUCCAUAUCGACGAGGGGGUUUACGACCUCGAUGUUGGAUCAGGACAUCCUAAUGGUGCAGCCG
Molecule: ribosomal RNA, 1216 nt
Filed under: Carassius cuvieri (Japanese crucian carp)
Lineage: Eukaryota; Metazoa; Chordata; Actinopteri; Cypriniformes; Cyprinidae
Description: partial 16S ribosomal RNA
Rfam family: Bacterial large subunit ribosomal RNA
Source: RNAcentral